Cinara cedri is the source of this 1028-nucleotide non-coding RNA. The record is from the annotation of a GenBank genome assembly. Lineage: Eukaryota; Metazoa; Arthropoda; Insecta; Hemiptera; Aphididae.
CUGCACAAUUAGGUACGAGUUCUAAAUUUUUGCACAUUUUUACAGAUAUGGGUAGAUAAACGUUUUUAAAGAAUUAUAUGUUGUCCCGAGAUCGAGAAAACGAGUUUAUAAAAACCCGCAGGAAUGUACAAUAUUUGGAUCUUACAAAUUUGUAAUUCCCAUGGUUUUUUACGGAUAUGAAAUAUAAAAAUCAGGAGAGUAAAAUAUUUGAAAAAUAUCAAUAUUACAGUAUACUGAAACAUAGUCUAUGACUACCUCCAGUUGAUCACUUCACGAGUUCAUGUUAGAAUUUAAUAACCUCUGUUAAUGGAGUUAUUCUGGAAAAGUUCUGUAUCUCAAAAGUUUUAUCAUCACAUUCAUUCAAACGAAAUUCAUUUCGUGGUGAUUUUAAUAGAAAUUAUUAUUGGUUUCAUAAAUUUCAUAAUUCUUAUUUAAUCCAUUUGUGACAACAAUCUAAUACAAAUUUUGGAAGAUGAUAAUACAUAUCUAUUGACUCGAUAGAGUACUCUAUUUCUACGUAUGUGUCCACUACUUUGAUGCGUAUUAGACAAAUCCCAAAACCAUUAUCAAAUGUGAGAUUUUUGGAAACUUAUUUACAUAAUUUUAGUAAAACCUCGUAAAAAUCAUUAAUUUCAUUUGAUCUCAUUUGUUUCAUUCAUUCAUCUCAAUUUCCCAAAAUAUACUUAGAUUUCUCAUCAUGUCGGUGAUUUUACACAUUUCACUUAUCAGAUCAUUGAAGAAGGUUUACGUGAUCUCAUCUCGUUCACUUUCAACAUUAUCACUUUUCUAGACCAACUCCUUAGGUGGGUCACAGGGUAUUCGAGUGUAGUCAGAUAACCGUAUACAAUUCUGUUGAAAUUCAAAAAUUUUACAUUCCAGAUUUGUAUAUUUCAGACUCGUGCCGUUCCAGGGUUUAACGUGUUCCCGAGAAAACGUUAUUUACGGAUUUAUUAUGUACAGAAUAUAAAAUUAUUAAAAUAUAAUACUCGCGACUAUUCUAAAUUCUAAUACACAGGUCGCAAUAAUUG